Molecule: long non-coding RNA, 390 nt
Organism: Oreochromis niloticus (Nile tilapia)
Lineage: Eukaryota; Metazoa; Chordata; Actinopteri; Cichliformes; Cichlidae
Exons: 4
Source: RefSeq, a predicted model, not a curated record
GAUGGGUUACGGUUUAAAGGGUUAAAGGUGAACAGACUGCAUUUCCAGCUUGGGUCACAUGCUUCACAGUUUCACUUCCACUAGGCAAGUAGUUGUUGAGGGUUUGCAGACAAGUUGGAGUCAUCCAUACAACCAAACAUUUUACUUGGUGAAAGGAGGUUGCCGCAGCAACUGCAUGAAGUCAUCAAGAAGUAAAGCAGAUGACAUGGAUCCACAGCUCCCUUCUUCUUCUUCUUUUAAUCCAGGUGAAGUAAAAUGAUGAAUGAGAAAGCAAAGACGUGACCGAUCAAGAAAAGAAAAAAGAAAAGUGCAACAAAAUCAGAACAACUACAAUAAUGAGUGUGUAAAAUGAAGUGGUUCUCAUUUGAACUGUGGUUAUUAAACUUUGGG